UCCUUCGUGUUCCUCCAUGGUUGCAGACCAGGCUGACCUUCCUCCUGGCUCCUCAACACUUUUGUGUUUUAUCUGUUGCCAUAACAUUUCUAUUUUUCAUGUUUUAUGCCCUUUUUUUUUCAAAGAAAACCCUUUUUUUUUAAUGGCAAAUGACCUUUUUUUCAAAACGGAUUAUUUGAUGUGAAGUAAUUGGAGUCUUGAAUAGUGGCAGUAAAACGGCUGAUCAAACAAAACAGAAGUCAUCGUCAUGGACCCACUAGCUGUGGAAGCCAGCUCUCCAAUCAGCUAAACAGACUCAACGACUCCACGGUGACGUCUUGGUGCUAAUAUCUGCAUGGAAGCAAGAGGUUUGCAUGAGUGCAGCAAGCCACAGCACAGCGUGUCUCAGUCUCCACCAAUCUAAAGACAAUGAAGGUUCACCACACUGUAAUUAGCCAACAAUGAGUUUGCCAGUCACUUCUCAUAAAUAUGAAUGAGGAGGGAUGGAUAGAAGGUGUUGGGUCUAAAUCUGCCACCAUGUUUUAUUUUUUUCCCUUCUGACGUGAGACGGAGAACACGGCCCAGCGUCAUAUUCAUCCUAUCAAAACUUCCUGAGGGAAAGAGUUUUUAAAGAGCUUUUGUGUGUCACUCUUUUCCUGUCAUGACUGGAAGAGUGCAGCUUGUAGAAGGCGUUAAGGGGUGCAGAUUGAUGGAGCAAGUUUGCCUUUUGUGUUUUUUUUGUUUUUUUACUUUGAGAGGAGAGACUUUUUGUUUUUAAUCUCCCUUGGUCUCAGCUGUUAAUGUGAAAUCAAUUCAGGAACGGGGCAGAAAAUAUUUUUGAGUUUAAAGUCUGCUUUUUACGAUUACUUAGCAGCCAUCAGGAGUACUUUCAUCAAAAGUGAUGCUUUGCAACUCGUAAAUUAGUGUUGUCCCGAUACCAACAUUUUGGUACCGGUACCAAAAUUAUUUCAAUACUUUUCGGUAUUUUUCUAAAUAAAAGGGACCACAAAAACCUGAA
Entelurus aequoreus (snake pipefish) is the source of this 997-nucleotide long non-coding RNA. RefSeq lists it as uncharacterized. The record is from RefSeq and is a predicted model, not a curated record. Lineage: Eukaryota; Metazoa; Chordata; Actinopteri; Syngnathiformes; Syngnathidae. The transcript is spliced from 3 exons.